UAAGAUGCUAGUAACAAGAAUUACAUUGCCUUGUCAAGGCAAAAUUGCGGGUUAAAGCCCCGUGCAUCUUAA
This 72-nucleotide transfer RNA is filed under the name Scuticaria tigrina (spotted snake moray). RNAcentral describes it as "tRNA-Asp". It matches the Rfam family "tRNA". From Rfam's summary of the family: Transfer RNA (tRNA) molecules are approximately 80 nucleotides in length. Their secondary structure includes four short double-helical elements and three loops (D, anti-codon, and T loops). Lineage: Eukaryota; Metazoa; Chordata; Actinopteri; Anguilliformes; Muraenidae. The record is from RNAcentral.